CUGCGUGUAGCUCAAUGGGUAGAGCACCCGGCUUGGGACCGGGAGGUUGCUGGUUCAAGUCCAGCCAGGCAGG
This 73-nucleotide transfer RNA is filed under the name Caudoviricetes sp. RNAcentral describes it as "tRNA-Pro". It matches the Rfam family "tRNA". From Rfam's summary of the family: Transfer RNA (tRNA) molecules are approximately 80 nucleotides in length. The record is from RNAcentral. Lineage: Duplodnaviria; Heunggongvirae; Uroviricota; Caudoviricetes.